RNAcentral lists this ribosomal RNA (694 nucleotides) under uncultured bacterium. Its description in RNAcentral is "bacterial SSU rRNA". It matches the Rfam family "Bacterial small subunit ribosomal RNA", at positions 32 to 715 of the family's 1533-position model. The record is from RNAcentral.
AACGCUAGCUACAGGCUUAACACAUGCAAGUCGAGGGGCAGCAUGGUCUUAGCUUGCUAAGGCCGAUGGCGACCGGCGCACGGGUGAGUAACACGUAUCCAACCUGCCGUCUACUCUUGGACAGCCUUCUGAAAGGAAGAUUAAUACAAGAUGGCAUCAUGAGUCCGCAUGUUCACAUGAUUAAAGGUAUUCCGGUAGACGAUGGGGAUGCGUUCCAUUAGAUAGUAGGCGGGGUAACGGCCCACCUAGUCUUCGAUGGAUAGGGGUUCUGAGAGGAAGGCCCCCCACAUUGGAACUGAGACACGGUCCAAACUCCUACGGGAGGCAGCAGUGAGGAAUAUUGGUCAAUGGGCGAGAGCCUGAACCAGCCAAGUAGCGUGAAGGAUGACUGCCCUAUGGGUUGUAAACUUCUUUUAUAAAGGAAUAAAGUCGGGUAUGGAUACCCGUUUGCAUGUACUUUAUGAAUAAGGAUCGGCUAACUCCGUGCCAGCAGCCGCGGUAAUACGGAGGAUCCGAGCGUUAUCCGGAUUUAUUGGGUUUAAAGGGAGCGUAGAUGGAUGUUUAAGUCAGUUGUGAAAGUUUGCGGCUCAACCGUAAAAUUGCAGUUGAUACUGGAUAUCUUGAGUGCAGUUGAGGCAGGCGGAAUUCGUGGUGUAGCAGUGAAAUGCUUAGAUAUCACGAAGAACUCCGAUUG